UUGAAGGGUAUAUUUGAUAUUUUUUUCAAAUUUUUUAUUUUUUGAGUAGGCAAGAUACAUUACUAGAUGUCAAUCUUAUCUUCUAUUUUUUUUGAAUUAAAGUGAUUAAUUCAUAAGUCAAUUAGAAAAUAUUCUAAUUUGACAACAUGGGUUGGCAUAGUUUGGACUUUAAUAGAAUAGAAGUAGUCUAAUGAAAUUAGGUUAGCUAGCAUUAGGACCUACUACUAGCU
This 230-nucleotide long non-coding RNA is filed under the name Elaeis guineensis (African oil palm). RNAcentral describes it as "long non-coding RNA (EGUI_LNC047239)". Lineage: Eukaryota; Viridiplantae; Streptophyta; Magnoliopsida; Arecales; Arecaceae. The record is from RNAcentral.